UAAACUAGGAUUAGAUACCCUAUUAUUCUAAAUAAUAAAGAAAGGAAUAAGUUAUUUUUUGAAUUAAAAAAUUUGGCGGUUUUCUUACAACUUAGAGGAGUGUGUUUCAUAAGGGAUAAUACACCAUAAAAUUUACUAUUUUUGAAAUUAUUAUACCGCUGUUUUAAAAUUAUUUUUGAUAAAAAUAUUUAAAAUUUUUUUUUAUUUGAAAAAACUUCAAGUACAGGUGAUGUAAUAAAAUAGAGAAAAUGCACUACAAUAAAUAAUUUUAAAACGGAUUAUUUUUAUUAUAUUUAAUAUGAAGGUGAAUUUAUAAGUAAAAUUUUAUGAAAAUUUGAAUUUUGUUCAAGAAAAUGUACAUAUCGCCCG
This 369-nucleotide ribosomal RNA is filed under the name Austropurcellia vicina. RNAcentral's name for it is "partial 12S ribosomal RNA". The record is from RNAcentral. Lineage: Eukaryota; Metazoa; Arthropoda; Arachnida; Opiliones; Pettalidae.